RNAcentral lists this ribosomal RNA (431 nucleotides) under uncultured bacterium. RNAcentral's name for it is "bacterial SSU rRNA". It matches the Rfam family "Bacterial small subunit ribosomal RNA", at positions 29 to 506 of the family's 1533-position model. The record is from RNAcentral.
UUGAACGCUGGCGGCAUGGCUAAAGCAUGCAAGUCGAACGAACCCGCAAGGGCGAGUGGCGAAAGGGUCAGUAAUGCGAUCGAACGUACCCUGAGGUGGGGGAUAGCCGCGGGAAACUGCGGGUAAGACCCCAUGAUCUCUCCGGAGCAAAGGUUUACCGCCUUGGGAUCGGCGAUCGUCCUAUCAGCUAGUUGGCGGGGUAACGGCCCACCAAGGCGAUGACGGGUAGCAGGUGUGAGAGCACGACCUGCGACAUCGGGACUGAGACACUGCCCGGACUCCUACGGGAGGCUGCAGCGACGAAUCUUCCGCAAUGGGCGCAAGCCUGACGGAGCAAUGCCGCGUGUGGGAUGAAUCGGCUACGCCGUGUAAACCACUGUCAGGGGGCAGAACCAACGAUCGCCCCCAAAGGAAGAGACGGCUAACCCUGU